CCUACGGGGUGCAGCAGUGAGGCAUAUUGGUCAAUGGACGAGAGUCUGAACCAGCCAAGUAGCGUGAAGGAUGACUGCCCUAUGGGUUGUAAACUUCUUUUAUAUGGGAAUAAAAUGUUCCACGUGUGGGAUUUUGUAUGUACCCUAUGAAUAAGGAUUGGCUAACUUCGUGCCAACCGCCGCGGUAAUACGGAGGAUCCGAGCGUUAUCCGGAUUUAUUGGGGUGAACGGGAGCGUAGGUGGAUUGUUAAGUCAGUUGUGAAAGUUUGCGGCUCAACCGUAAAAUUGCAGUUGAAACUGGCAGUCUUGAGUACAGUAGAGGUGGGCGGAAUGCGUGGUGUAGCGGUGAAAUGCUUAGAUAUCACGAAGAACUCCGAUUGCGGAGGCAGUUCACUGGACUGCAACUGACACUGAGGCUCGAAAGUGUGGGUAUCAAACAGGAUUAGAUACCCUGGUAGUC
RNAcentral lists this ribosomal RNA (460 nucleotides) under uncultured bacterium. RNAcentral's name for it is "partial 16S ribosomal RNA". It matches the Rfam family "Bacterial small subunit ribosomal RNA", at positions 338 to 795 of the family's 1533-position model. The record is from RNAcentral.